UCUUCGUCAGCCCUAUCAAAG
Molecule: non-coding RNA, 21 nt
Filed under: Arabidopsis thaliana (thale cress)
Lineage: Eukaryota; Viridiplantae; Streptophyta; Magnoliopsida; Brassicales; Brassicaceae
Source: RNAcentral